UUUAACAUGAUGGACUAUAGGACAGGACUGCUGCUUUUAACUGUCUGCUGGGCAGGUGUUGAUGGUCAGACUCUGACAGAAUCUGAACCAGCGGUUAAAAGGCCUGGAGAAUCCCACAGAUUGACCUGUACAACCUCUGGAAUAUCAUUCAGCAGCUACUGGAUGGCCUGGAUCAGACAGGCUCCUGGAAAAGGACUGGAGUGGAUUUCCAGCAUUGAAUAUGAUAGUGACAGGAAGUUUUACUCUCAGUCAGUCCAAGGGAGGUUUACGGCCUCCAGAGACAACAGCAAAGAGCAGCUGUAUCUGCAGAUGAACAGUCUGAAGACUGAAGAUUCUGCUGUUUAUUAUUGUGCUCGACACUCACAGUGACUGGAGUUGGUUGAGCAGCUGUACAAAAUCCUACAGUACUCAUCUUUCCUGUGCUGAUAGAUCCUGAGAAAGACUUCUGUUUUUAUUUGAACUUCUGUUGUUUUUAAUUAAAUCAUGAAAAUUGGCCCUGAGAAAGAUCAUAAUUAAUCAACAACAACAAACACAUAAUUAAAAAUAUCUUACUGUAAAGACCACUUCUUCAUAAAACAGCCAAUGACAGCAAAACAAUCUGCUGAAAUCAUUGUCAAGGUGUAAAUAAAAGACACACUACAUGUUCACAUUUCAGCCAUUGGCAGACAUCUAGCUGAUCACAUUAUGGAAGUGAAAAUGUUGCAGUUCCCUAUAAAAACACUAGCAGGCAGUCAGUGUCAAGUUUCUUUCUCCUCUGUCAAUAUAAGGAGAAUCUCAUAUCUGCUGAUCUGCUGAAAAAGCUCUGUAGCAAACAGUAUUCAACUUUUCUAAAGAAUCUUACUUUAUGAGAUUUAAGAC
This is a non-coding RNA of Micropterus salmoides (largemouth bass), 858 nucleotides long. NCBI's taxonomy places the organism in Eukaryota, Metazoa, Chordata, Actinopteri, Centrarchiformes, Centrarchidae. The record is from the annotation of a RefSeq genome assembly.